This 471-nucleotide ribosomal RNA is filed under the name uncultured bacterium. Its description in RNAcentral is "bacterial SSU rRNA". It matches the Rfam family "Bacterial small subunit ribosomal RNA", at positions 222 to 710 of the family's 1533-position model. The record is from RNAcentral.
GGGAUUAGCCCGCGUAGGAUUAGCUAGUUGGUGAGGUAACGGCUCACCAAGGCGACGAUCCUUAGCUGGUCUGAGAGGACGAUCAGCCACACUGGGACUGAGACACGGCCCAGACUCCUACGGGAGGCAGCAGUGGGGAAUAUUGGACAAUGGGCGCAAGCCUGAUCCAGCCAUGCCGCGUGAGUGACGAAGGCCUUAGGGUUGUAAAGCUCUUUUGACGGGGACGAUAAUGACGGUACCCGCAGAAUAAGCCCCGGCUAACUUCGUGCCAGCAGCCGCGGUAAUACGAAGGGGGCUAGCGUUGUUCGGAAUCACUGGGCGUAAAGCGCACGUAGGCGGACUUUCAAGUCAGGGGUGAAAUCCCGGGGCUCAACCUCGGAACUGCCUUUGAUACUGUUGGUCUCGAAUCCGGUAGAGGUGGGUGGAAUUCCUAGUGUAGAGGUGAAAUUCGUAGAUAUUAGGAAGAACACC